Molecule: microRNA, 20 nt
Filed under: Canis lupus familiaris (dog)
Lineage: Eukaryota; Metazoa; Chordata; Mammalia; Carnivora; Canidae
Description: Cfa-Novel-15_3p (mature (guide))
Source: RNAcentral
AGAGCAUUGGCCCUGGGAAG